UUUUGCAUUUAAAAAUUGAAGAAUUUUAAACAGGGCUUUUAUUUGGUCAUACUUGCAAUACAUUGGGGUCUAGUUUGGAAUCUGACAACUGGAACAAAAAGAACCUUGAAUCCGGUGCAUGCCUUGGUUUUGGUGCUGCUGCUGCUUCUCAAGUUCCUCAGCAGGGAUUAAGAAAGAACCUAGUGUGCACAGCAGAUCCCCAAAAUUGGGGGGAUUGAAUUGCUGUGUCUUUCCACUUUCUGUUCAGGACCACUAAAUGCUGAAAUGUGGAUGCAUACCAAAAUAAAAGCAAUUUGUUGUGAAAAAAAAAACAGGGGGAGAAAGGGAGAAAAGUAAUAACAAACAAAAGAACAAUUCUGGAAAAUCAAUAUAGUCCACAAUACUCUGAAGUCCAUAUAUCAGUAGGCAGGUAUGAAAGUGGCUUAUGUACAUAAAUAGGUUGCUGUUAUUUUCUUCUGAAGAUUAAGUUGUCUAGCUUCAGUUCUCAGGGAUUUCUGAAAGCACAGCUUAGCUUUCAGUGCUUUCAAAUGAAUAAAAAUGCAAAAAAGAAGAAAAAAAUGAA
This 562-nucleotide long non-coding RNA is filed under the name Homo sapiens (human). RNAcentral's name for it is "HSALNT0287911". The record is from RNAcentral. Lineage: Eukaryota; Metazoa; Chordata; Mammalia; Primates; Hominidae.